RNAcentral lists this ribosomal RNA (338 nucleotides) under uncultured Fastidiosipila sp. RNAcentral's name for it is "bacterial SSU rRNA". It matches the Rfam family "Bacterial small subunit ribosomal RNA", at positions 1042 to 1382 of the family's 1533-position model. The record is from RNAcentral. Lineage: Bacteria; Bacillati; Bacillota; Clostridia; Eubacteriales; Oscillospiraceae.
UGCAUGGUUGUCGUCAGCUCGUGUCGUGAGAUGUUGGGUUAAGUCCCGCAACGAGCGCAACCCUUAUUGUCAGUUGCCAGCAUUCAGUUGGGCACUCUGGCGAGACUGCCGUUGACAAAACGGAGGAAGGUGGGGACGACGUCAAAUCAUCAUGCCCCUUAUGUCCUGGGCUACACACGUACUACAAUGGCAAUAACAGAGGGCAGCCAAACCGCGAGGUUGAGCGAAUCCCAAAAUAUUGUCUCAGUUCAGAUUGCAGGCUGCAACUCGCCUGCAUGAAGUCGGAAUUGCUAGUAAUGGCAGGUCAGCAUACUGCCGUGAAUACGUUCCCGGGCCUU